CCAACUGUAUAUAGAUGGUAACAAGCAUUGUGACAUCAUUUAGAAUUAUGUGAACUAUUGUAAAAACAAAACUGCCCAUAUGUUUAAAAGUCAUUACAUUCCAAGCUGUCAACAUAAAGUACAUCAAGCUCCUGGCUGAGGCAACAACCUCUCUGUUGAGCAAAAGGAAGAAGAGAGACACUGACGUUCUCUGGGCAAUAGCCACAAUGAAGGCCCAGAUGUGGAUAGCUGUGUCUUCCUUCACUGACAAUAACAUCUCCCUGAGAGCCCUCACAGGAAACCCCAAGUUCCCAAUACUGGCCAAAUCCAUCAUGUAAAGAAUUGUAAAGGCAGACCAGAGAGCCAACAGGAUGCUGCUCCCGUCUUUGGGCUUCUGGCCAAAUCAUCUCAGAAAAGUGUCGAGGCUUAAGGCCUCAGAAAGAAGAAAAGUAGUCACGUCUAGCAUAGAGGAAGCAGAGGGCCAUUUAAUGAAGGUGUGCUGUGAAGACAUCUGUAAUGGAACUCAUAAUCAUCUCUCCCAAUCCAACUGCAUCAUAAAACUCUCCCCUGGAGCUCCGCUGCUCAGUGAUUAUACAAUCUGGUAGUUGCCUGAGGUUGGUACAUACGUAAAAUAAAGGUCAGUUUUGCCAAUGCUAA
This is a non-coding RNA of Rattus norvegicus (Norway rat), 636 nucleotides long. The record is from RefSeq and is a predicted model, not a curated record. NCBI's taxonomy places the organism in Eukaryota, Metazoa, Chordata, Mammalia, Rodentia, Muridae.